RNAcentral lists this ribosomal RNA (468 nucleotides) under uncultured bacterium. Its description in RNAcentral is "partial 16S ribosomal RNA". It matches the Rfam family "Bacterial small subunit ribosomal RNA", at positions 28 to 507 of the family's 1533-position model. The record is from RNAcentral.
GACGAACGCUGGCGGCGUGCUUAACACAUGCAAGUCGAACGGAAAGGCCCUGCUUAUGUGGGGUGCUCGAGUGGCGAACGGGUGAGUAACACGUGAGUAACCUGCCCUUGACUUUGGGAAAACUUCAGGAAACUGGGGCUAAUACCGGAUAGGAGCUCCUGCUGCAUGGUGGGGGUUGGAAAGUUUCGGCGGUUGGGGAUGGACUCGCGGCUUAUCAGCUUGUUGGUGGGGUAGUGGCUUACCAAGGCUUUGACGGGUAGCCGGCCUGAGAGGGUGACCGGCCACAUUGGGACUGAGAUACGGCCCAGACUCCUACGGGAGGCAGCAGUGGGGAAUAUUGCACAAUGGGCGGAAGCCUGAUGCAGCAACGCCGCGUGCGGGAUGACGGCCUUCGGGUUGUAAACCGCUUUCGCCUGUGACGAAGCGUGAGUGACGGUAAUGGGUAAAGAAGCACCGGCUAACUACGUG